This 172-nucleotide unclassified non-coding RNA is filed under the name soil metagenome. Its description in RNAcentral is "partial internal transcribed spacer 1". The record is from RNAcentral.
ACAAGUUUGCAAAAACUUUUGAUUGUGUGUGAACUGUUAUACUGUAGAACCGUGUGUGCGUUGGUUGCGCAUGGUGUUGGCCCUUGGGUCAUGCACCGCACUGAUGCACACCGGAAUCCAACUUGAACCAACUUUGAAACUGAUUGACUGAAGUAAAAAGAGUAAACCUAGA